This 72-nucleotide transfer RNA is filed under the name Cordylochernes scorpioides. RNAcentral's name for it is "tRNA-Ala". The record is from RNAcentral. Lineage: Eukaryota; Metazoa; Arthropoda; Arachnida; Pseudoscorpiones; Chernetidae.
UGGAGAUGCCGGAGAUCGAACCCGGGACCUUUCACAUGCAAAGCGGACGCUCUACCACUGAGCUACAUCCCC